Molecule: long non-coding RNA, 1463 nt
Filed under: Carassius auratus (goldfish)
Lineage: Eukaryota; Metazoa; Chordata; Actinopteri; Cypriniformes; Cyprinidae
Description: lncRNA (ENSCARG00000053188.1)
Source: RNAcentral
GGAAACAAGAGCUUCAAACUGUGUUUCUCAAUAGGAAAUACUUCAUACCUAAUACAAACUUACAAAAACUGGACUGAUGCUCAGAGCUACUGUAGACAACAUUACACAGACCUGCCCACCAUCCGCAACUCUGCAGAAAAUGACCAGAUAAAAAAAAAUCUCUUAUCUGGAUCUUACAUCUGGAUCGGUCUGUUCCUGGACUCUUGGGAAUGGUCUGAUAAAUGGAGUCGCGUCUUCAGACACUGGGCAGCAGAUCAACCAUUCCUGAAUCCAGGAUCUGGAGACUGUAUUGCGAUGUCAAGAAACAACUCUGGCAGAUGGGCUCAAUACAGCUGUGAUCUCAAGCAGCCUUUUAUCUGCCAUGGGGACAUUAGGAAACAAAUUGUGAGACUGAAAGUCACAUGUAAGGGAAAAUGUGCAUUGGAUGAUUCUUCACUACAGACGGCCAUUCUGAAUGAGGUUUGUAUCUGCCUUAAACUGCGUUUAGUGUCACAUUCUGGUGCAACAACACACUCUUCCAAGAACAGUAUAUGCACUCGAAAGAAACAACUGAAGAAAAAUGUAUUAAAUUACCUUAAACCCAAAAAGCACCACUCAUAUAAUCAUAAUCAUCAUUAUUAUUGAUAAUUGUGUUGUUAUUUAGGGUUACAGAUGUGAGGCAUAUAUAUGUGACAUGAUGUCAGGUUUUAUUUGAUUCUUUCUCACUGGUCUUCCAGAUAAGUGAAAAGCUGAAGAACAUGAUGUUGGACACUGACAACAUAAUAAGCUUGAGAAAGGGGGAAGAUGGAGGGCUGUUUCAUAAGGAGAACAACCAUAUGGUGAAUUAAGAUGAUAAAUGUAAUAGGGAACUGUAAUGUAUGUGGUUUAAGGUUCAAAAAAUAUUAUUUUCCACAUAAUGUACAUUAUUGUUUCUCCUCUAUGCCCCACCUUUCUGAAACAAGUAGUUUUUUUUUUUUUUUUUUUUUUUACAAAAAGCUUAUCGGUCUGAAAAAACAAAAACAAUAAAAAGUCAUUUGUUGCAAUGGGGACAUAAUUAUGGAUAAUAAUGACUUAUACUGUGUUUUUACACGUUGCAUCACACCACGUUAACAAAACCAUGUCUGCAUUUGUGAUUGGAGAGACGGCAAACAACAAGCGCUACUCACUGCCAAAAACUUGCAUUUGAAUCAUCAGUGGCAAAUCCUUUACAUAUGUAAAUGUACUUACAGACUGUGAUUCAGAACUGCCGGCAUUGUCUUCUCUCCAAGGAUCAGGUUUUAGGAGUGUGUGGUUUACUCUUAAACUGUAUAAAGAAUAUCUCUUUGGGAUUUAAAACUUUAAUCUUUGCAAAUUUACAUAUCUUCCUUAUGUACCAACAGCUUGUAACACUACAAAGAGAAAGGAAAACUUGAAACCGCAUAAAAAAAUAUCAAGUAAUGUUAUUAUUUAAAGGAACUGUAAAUAUAACAACAUUAAUAAAUCUA